This 830-nucleotide long non-coding RNA is filed under the name Homo sapiens (human). RNAcentral describes it as "HSALNT0258664". Lineage: Eukaryota; Metazoa; Chordata; Mammalia; Primates; Hominidae. The record is from RNAcentral.
CAGGGGUUGGGGACCCCUGAUCUAUUCUGUCCUAGGAUCUCCAGCCUUCUGAAAAGAUGCUCAAAGGGAGCUCUCUGCAUUUAAAGGCAGCUGUUGGGCUGAGUGUGAUGUAAUCCCAGUGCUUUGAGAGGCUUAUGGGUGUGAGCCACCACACCCAGUCUUCUACAUGGUUUUUCUGAAAGCUCUGAUUACAUGCUGAAUUUACAAAUGGUGGAAAACAAGGAGUAAUGGUUAAUAAGCUGAAUGGUACAGUACAAAUUACACAAGGAACAAUACAUGAAUUAGAAAUUUAAAAUUUAGUUGAAAUAUAAAAUAAAUUAUUGCCAGAAACACAAAGGGCACAUGAAUACAAUAGGGGAAACAGCUUAAUGGCUUUCUGUUCUCUGAAAACUCAAGGCCCAUCUCUGAGUGAUAAGAGUACCCUAACAGGCAAAGCCCUCUGAGGUCCGGGACCAGGAAGACAGUGCUACUCCACCUACUGGCGGUCUGGCACUAUCUGUAGGCUGGAGUUGGGCUGGGGAUGGUACAUUCAAAAUGGACUUUGGUAAACUAGGGGACAACCCAGACAAACACUGCAGAAAGGAGGAAGGACUCCCUUUCCAGCAUCUCAAAUUCAAGGCUCCAAGUUACUGGGCUUGGGCAAAGUCACACAUUUUCUCAACAAAGGCCAACUGCUGACAAUCCAAAUUUUAAAAACACUGCCAUUAGCCACCGUGCCCGACCGAGUUCUUUUUUUAAUGAAAAGAAUUUGACAUUCCUGCAGUAGAUAUAAGGCAGCAGAAACAGGAACUGUGCAGGCAUGUGUAACAAGAAUGCAGAUGCCAUUUAUU